GUGUCAGCAGCCGCGGUAAUACGUAGGGGGCGAGCGUUGUCCGGAAUUAUUGGGCGUAAAGAGCUCGUAGGCGGCUUGGCAAGUCGGAUGUGAAAACUCCAGGCUCAACCUGGAGCCGCCAUUCGAUACUGCCGUGACUAGAGUUCGGUAGAGGAGUGUGGAAUUCCUGGUGGAGCGGUGAAAUGCGCAGAGAUCAGGAGGAACACCCGUAGCGAAGGCGGCACUCUGGGCCGAUACUGACACUGAGGCACGAAGGUCAGGGGAGCAAACGGGAUUAGAUACCCCUGUAGUCC
RNAcentral lists this ribosomal RNA (293 nucleotides) under uncultured bacterium. RNAcentral's name for it is "partial 16S ribosomal RNA". It matches the Rfam family "Bacterial small subunit ribosomal RNA", at positions 505 to 796 of the family's 1533-position model. The record is from RNAcentral.